CCCUUAGAUGUUCUGGGCUGCACGCGCGCUACACUGAUGCAUCCAGCGAGUUGUAACCUUGCUUGGUAAAGUUUGGUAAUCUGAGCCUAAUGUGCAUCGUGAUGGGAAUAGAGUUUUGCAACUAUUAGUCUUGAACGAGGAAUUCCUCGUAAGCACGAGUCAUCAGCUUGUGCUGAUUACGUCCCUGCCCUUUGUACACACCGCCCGUCGCUCCUACCGAUUGAAUGGUCCGGUGAAGCGUUCGGACCGUGGCCUUUGGACGGUUCGCCGUCUGUUGGCUGCGGGAAGUUCGUUAAACCUUAUCAUUUAGAGGAAGGAGAANUCGUAACA
Molecule: ribosomal RNA, 330 nt
Filed under: uncultured eukaryote
Lineage: Eukaryota
Description: partial 18S ribosomal RNA
Rfam family: Eukaryotic small subunit ribosomal RNA
Source: RNAcentral